AACUGAGUAUCUUCAGGAAAAAUGGGCUCCAUAAGAAGUGGCAUCAUCCUGGAACGGAAAG
Neogale vison (American mink) is the source of this 61-nucleotide unclassified non-coding RNA. NCBI's taxonomy places the organism in Eukaryota, Metazoa, Chordata, Mammalia, Carnivora, Mustelidae. The record is from Ensembl.